GACGGAGGGUGCAAGCGUUGUUCGGAAUUACUGGGCGUAAAACGCGUGUCGGCGGCUUGCUAAGUCUGAUGUGAAAGCCCGGGGCUCACCCCCGGAAGUGCAUUGGAAACUGGCGAGCUCGAGUCCCGGAGAGGAGGGUGGAAUUCCUGGUGUAGCGGUGAAAUGCGUAGAUAUCAGGAGGAACACCGGUGGCGAAGGCGGCCCUCUGGACGGUGACUGACGCUGAGACGCGAAAGCGUGGGGAGCAAACAGG
This 253-nucleotide ribosomal RNA is filed under the name uncultured bacterium. RNAcentral describes it as "partial 16S ribosomal RNA". It matches the Rfam family "Bacterial small subunit ribosomal RNA", at positions 524 to 776 of the family's 1533-position model. The record is from RNAcentral.